GUGGAAACGAACUUGGAUGAGUACACCACGUUACAUGAUAAUUCAAAAGGCCUCCACCCUCCUUAUCUGAUAAUCAAACAUUGCCCGUUCGAUCAGCCGAAGAAAAAACUCGAGCAUUUUUAGCCCGAGUUUUGACGAACCCAGAAACUACCGCGAAGCGUCCGAUUACAAUUCCCUAUGAAAAGAGUCAUAAGCUCAAAAAAUCAACUGCAGAUCCAAAUCCAGCAACGAGAACAAGAAAGAAGCUGUUUUUGAAGAAACGAAGUUAGUACAGGGAGAGAUGAGCAGAUUUUAAUCAGAGAGUGAAAGAGACAAAAUAAAAAAUGGAUGUGGAGAGAUCCUCUUUGUGCAAUUGCGUUGUGAAUUUCUUGAUACAAGAGAACUAUCUCUUGACGGCAUUUGAAUUGCUUCAUGAACUCCUUGACGAUGGCAGAGACGACCACGCCAUUCGCCUCAAGGAGUUCUUCUCUGAUCCUUAUCUUUUCCCUACUGAUCAGAUCUCUCGUUUCAAUUCUCUUCGAGAAUGUAAGCGAUGCUCUUUUCUGCCCCUUUUAUUCUUGAAAAGCAGUUGCAGACCCUCAGAAUUUACUAGAAGAGAAAGAAGCAAUAGAAGAAAAAUUAGCACUUAGUGAAUAUGAGCUUCGUUUGGCAAAAGAGGACGUUUCGAAGUUCAAAACUGAAUUGCAGAAGAAAAAAGAUUUGCCACAGGUGGAAUUGAGUGAGUCAAAAUCAGAUGUUUCUGAGAACACCAGACCAGAUAUUCUACGGCAAAAGAAGGCCACUUCCUUCUCUGACUUGGGCCCUUUGAAGGAUAGUGAGCGUAGAGAUCUUAAUUGUGCCGUAAAGGAAUAUUUACUAUUAGCGGGAUAUCGGCUUACUGCUAUGACAUUCUACGAAGAAGUUACAGAUCAGAAUUUAGAAGUUUGGCAGGACACACCUGCAUGCGUACCAGAUGCCUUGCGACAUUAUUACUAUCAAUACCUUUCAUCCACUACAGAGGCUGCUGAGGAGAAAAUUGCCAUGCUUCGAGAAAAUGAGUCAUUAAUAAAAGCAAAUGAGAAGCUGAAUCAUGAAAAAGAGAAAUUGCUGAAAAACAAAGAUUUGGCUGAUAAUCAAAUAAGUGGACUAAAUAAAUCCUUAGAGGCUCUUCAAAAAGAUCUUAAGGAGAGGGAGAACCAGGUGCAGGAAUUGAAGCAGUCCUGGGAGCUCCAACUAAAGGAACUUAAUGAUUGUAGAGCUGAAAUUACUUCACUGAAAAUGCACCUCGAAGGAUAUCGUUCUGGAAGAAGCAUUAUGGCUAGUGAUGUAGAAAUAAUAUCAUUGCAGAUGGGAAUUGAAAGGUUGAAGGGCAAAAGCCCAAAAGCUCCUAAAUCUGUAGAUUCCAACAACAACGAGGAGUCUCUGCAGACAGAAGAGAAAGUUGUUGAGAUAGAUGAAGAUAAAACUGUAAUCUCUCAUCCAUAUGAUGCUAUUGGAGUGUUGAGCAGUGAAGAUGUUCAAUCACUGAUAACUGACAACUCUGGUAAACCUGAGGAAGUUUCAUCUGAUCCAUCGAGAAAUCAUUUAAAUGAAGAUAUUAAUAUUGAAAACAAUCAAAGUGACUUUAAACAAAAUGAUGAACCACCCUCGGAAGAUGGUGGGCCAUACAUGGAAUUGGACAAUUUAAAUGUUGAAGCUGCUUCAGGAAACAUGGCAAGUUCUUUUUCUUUCUCCUGGAAAUUAGAUUCUUUUCCGAUGCAACAUCCCACUUCCAUUUCUGUUCUCUCCCUUGGUAUUAAGUGGGUUAGACUGUUGUUAAAUAUUGGAACCUUGCAGGCUUGCAGCCAUUGAUACUAUUGUCAAGGGCUACCUUUUAAUAGCAUAAUUUCUUAGUCCUUGUUUUGCCUGCCUGCCUGUCCUUUUCAAAUAGCUCAGAUUUUAUUAUAUAACAUCUUGGCAGUAUGAUUUUGCUUUUCAGGGUUUAGAAACAAUUCAAAUCCUUGCAGAUGCCUUGCCCAAGAUUGUACCCCAUGUUUUGAUCAAUCAUCGGGAGGAGCUUCUUCCCCUAAUGAUGUGUGCAAUAGAGCGUCAUCCAGAUAGUACCACACGGGAUUCCUUAACCCACACAUUGUUUAAUUUGAUCAAACGUCCGGAUGAGCAACAGAGACAGAUCAUAAUGGAUGUAGGGUCAUCAAUUUUGACCAUAUAAUGGAUUCCUUGAAACAUUAAUUGCAUUCUACCAUAUCUACACAAUUUGAAUUUGAUGCUGGAUCUUCUGAGCUUUAUUGCAGGCAUGUGUGAGUCUUGCUAAGAAUGUAGGGGAGAUGAGAACAGAAACAGAAUUGCUUCCCCAGUGUUGGGAACAAAUAAAUCACACAUAUGAGGAGCGUAGAUUGCUUGUUGCUCAAUCUUGUGGAGAGCUUGCAGAGUUUGUCCGGCCCGAGAUCCGUGAUUCUCUAAUUUUGUCCAUUGUGCAACAACUGAUAGAAGAUGCUGCAACUGUUGUUCGAGAGGCGGCUGCACAUAAUUUGGCUUUGCUGCUUCCACUCUUCCCAAAUGUGGACAAAUAUUUCAAGGUCAGCCUCACUAAAUAUGCUUCGAGGCAAUCAUGGAGAAGAAUUCUGAUUUGACAGAAUUGGCUACAAUGUUGAGGAGAUGAUGUUCCAAUUGGUCUGUGAUCCCUCUGGAGUGGUGGUGGAAACUGCACUUAAGGAGCUACUUCCUGCAGUAAUAAAAUGGGGAAACAAGUUGGAUCACAUUUUAAGAGUUCUACUUUCCCAUAUCCUGAGCUCUGCUCAGCGUUGUCCACCUCUUUCGGGGGUUGAAGGCUCUGUGGAGUCACAUUUACGUGUCCUGGGGGAACGAGAGCGCUGGAGUAUUGAUGUGUUUUUGAGAAUGCUGUUGGAGUUGCUUCCAUUUGUGUACCAGAAGGCAGUUGAGGCUUGCCCUUUUUCUUCAGCAACAGAGUCAAAGGAUACAUUGUUCUCUACCUCAUCACUUGAAUUGUAUUCGAAGGGACACAUUGAAUGGGCAGCAUUUGAGUGGAUGCAUGUUGAUUGCUUUCCUGAUUUGAUACAGUUGGCCUGCAUGUUACCCCCAAAGGAAGACCAUUUAAGGAACAAAAGUACAAAGUUUUUGUUGGCUGUAAGUGAACACUUUGGGGAUUCUUAUCUGGUACACGUAAUGAUGCCUGUGUUCUUGAUAGCAGUUGGGGACAAUGCAGAUCUAACAUAUUUUCCAACUACCAUUCAUUCAAGAAUCAAAGGUUUGAGGCCAAAGACUGUUGUGGCUGAGAGGCUAGCUACAAUGUGUGUUCUGCCACUCCUCUUGGC
This 3311-nucleotide unclassified non-coding RNA is filed under the name Hevea brasiliensis (rubber tree). Lineage: Eukaryota; Viridiplantae; Streptophyta; Magnoliopsida; Malpighiales; Euphorbiaceae. The record is from RNAcentral.